Molecule: non-coding RNA, 22 nt
Filed under: Mus musculus (house mouse)
Lineage: Eukaryota; Metazoa; Chordata; Mammalia; Rodentia; Muridae
Source: RNAcentral
UCUGAGGAGGCAGAGGUUAGAG